Molecule: ribosomal RNA, 1291 nt
Filed under: Microbacterium sp.
Lineage: Bacteria; Bacillati; Actinomycetota; Actinomycetes; Micrococcales; Microbacteriaceae
Description: bacterial SSU rRNA
Rfam family: Bacterial small subunit ribosomal RNA
Source: RNAcentral
AGCAACCUGCCCCUGACUCUGGGAUAAGCGCUGGAAACGGCGUCUAAUACUGGAUAUGUGACGUGACCGCAUGGUCUGCGUCUGGAAAGAAUUUCGGUUGGGGAUGGGCUCGCGGCCUAUCAGCUUGUUGGUGAGGUAAUGGCUCACCAAGGCGUCGACGGGUAGCCGGCCUGAGAGGGUGACCGGCCACACUGGGACUGAGACACGGCCCAGACUCCUACGGGAGGCAGCAGUGGGGAAUAUUGCACAAUGGGCGGAAGCCUGAUGCAGCAACGCCGCGUGAGGGAUGACGGCCUUCGGGUUGUAAACCUCUUUUAGCAGGGAAGAAGCGAAAGUGACGGUACCUGCAGAAAAAGCGCCGGCUAACUACGUGCCAGCAGCCGCGGUAAUACGUAGGGCGCAAGCGUUAUCCGGAAUUAUUGGGCGUAAAGAGCUCGUAGGCGGUUUGUCGCGUCUGCUGUGAAAUCCGGAGGCUCAACCUCCGGCCUGCAGUGGGUACGGGCAGACUAGAGUGCGGUAGGGGAGAUUGGAAUUCCUGGUGUAGCGGUGGAAUGCGCAGAUAUCAGGAGGAACACCGAUGGCGAAGGCAGAUCUCUGGGCCGUAACUGACGCUGAGGAGCGAAAGGGUGGGGAGCAAACAGGCUUAGAUACCCUGGUAGUCCACCCCGUAAACGUUGGGAACUAGUUGUGGGGUCCAUUCCACGGAUUCCGUGACGCAGCUAACGCAUUAAGUUCCCCGCCUGGGGAGUACGGCCGCAAGGCUAAAACUCAAAGGAAUUGACGGGGACCCGCACAAGCGGCGGAGCAUGCGGAUUAAUUCGAUGCAACGCGAAGAACCUUACCAAGGCUUGACAUAUACGAGAACGGGCCAGAAAUGGUCAACUCUUUGGACACUCGUAAACAGGUGGUGCAUGGUUGUCGUCAGCUCGUGUCGUGAGAUGUUGGGUUAAGUCCCGCAACGAGCGCAACCCUCGUUCUAUGUUGCCAGCACGUAAUGGUGGGAACUCAUGGGAUACUGCCGGGGUCAACUCGGAGGAAGGUGGGGAUGACGUCAAAUCAUCAUGCCCCUUAUGUCUUGGGCUUCACGCAUGCUACAAUGGCCGGUACAAAGGGCUGCAAUACCGCGAGGUGGAGCGAAUCCCAAAAAGCCGGUCCCAGUUCGGAUUGAGGUCUGCAACUCGACCUCAUGAAGUCGGAGUCGCUAGUAAUCGCAGAUCAGCAACGCUGCGGUGAAUACGUUCCCGGGUCUUGUACACACCGCCCGUCAAGUCAUGAAAGUCGGUAACACCUG